CUUCCUUCCUCCUUACCCUUCUCCCCAAACAAGGUACCGUAAGUUUUCCCACGUGCACACGUGCCAUGACGUGAUGACUAACAGAUAAGAGCAGAAAAAAUUCCCCUAACAAAAGUUCAACCAAAUGGACUGAAAAUUAGAAAAAAUAAAAAUAAAAAUCCCAAAAUCUGAUAACAGUUGUUGUGGCAUCCACAGAACCUUUCAUCUCCAUUUUACCCUGCAGUAUUCCAAAUUCCACCACACAAACGAAACCCAGAUUUUCCUUUAUUUAUUUAUUUUGGUUUAUGAUUUGGAAAUAAGUGUCAAAACUAAAAAAACUAGUUCAUAUAUUUCAAGAAGAAUCAAGCAAAAUAUCCUCUUGGUGUUUUUUCUUUUAAUGAAAUGAAAUGAAUGAGGCCAAACCAAUAAUCAGAAUUGCAGAUGGAAGGCAAUGAGAAAACCACCCAAAAGGAUUACUACAAGAUUUUGGAGGUCGAUUAUGAUGCAACAGAUGAGAAGAUAAGAUUUAAUUAUCUAAAGCUUGCGCUGAAGUGGCAUCCUGACAAGCACCAGGGUGAUAGUGCUGUUACUGCAAAAUUUCAAGAGAUCAAUGAAGCGUAUGGAGUGUUGAGUGAUCCAGCUAAGCGCUCUGACUAUGAUUUUACUGGAAUAUAUGAGAUAGAUAAGUACACGUUGGGGGAAUAUCUUGCUAGAUUUAAAGGAAUGAUACUUACCUGCAAUGGGCUUGGUAUCAGUCAUACAUCAAUGUGGUAGAGAUGAGAGCCAAAAUAAAUGCCAAAAGAAACUUUCAUAUCUGUAUUCAUGGAUCUUUAUAAAAUUGCAGGACGCAUCAACUGACUGAUACCAGUGAAUAUGCAGAUAAAUAAGGAUGGAUGGAGCUAUCGAUGCGCGUAUGCUAUGUUGCAAGAGCAAGUGUAGGAAUAAUUUUUUUUUUUCUGAAUCUGAAGAUGGGGAUGGAGCUGUUUGUAGAAUUAUUAUGCAUACGAAUGUGAAUCCCUUGUCAGUGGUGCGAACUUGUUACGCCAUACAUAACAAUAUGCUCCUCCAUUUUGUAUGUAACAUUUCGUGAACAGCUUAGGUAGAGAUAAUUACACGGCAGUCAUACUUGUCUGAUUUUGUUGCUUUCUUUGUAGUGCGUAUUUCAUGUAUAACCGUUUAUUUGGUUAGCCCUGUGAAUUCUUAUUUUUCCAAAAAAGUAUAUAUGUGUUUGGCUUUUCAUCA
Ricinus communis (castor bean) is the source of this 1221-nucleotide RNA transcript. It is a transcript of the gene named dnAJ-like protein slr0093, with no coding region annotated. Lineage: Eukaryota; Viridiplantae; Streptophyta; Magnoliopsida; Malpighiales; Euphorbiaceae. The record is from RefSeq and is a predicted model, not a curated record. The transcript has 7 exons.